Molecule: non-coding RNA, 22 nt
Filed under: Rattus norvegicus (Norway rat)
Lineage: Eukaryota; Metazoa; Chordata; Mammalia; Rodentia; Muridae
Source: RNAcentral
GAGAUGCCAGUUGUACAGGUCC